CCUCAGACUGCGUGACUGUUUCCAUUAACAGCUUGGAAAUAAGAUCUUGUUUUUCUCUGAGGAAAAACAAAUAAUUCCUGAUAUCAUUCCCAGCCUAAAUGCAACUGCAUGGAUCUUCUUGUGAAUUUUCCCACCAUGUCUGUAGCCAGGCCUGGAGCAGGACUUGCAGCCAACUGUGCAAGCUGACCACAGCACCACACAUCAUGGACGACGCUUUUUCAGCUUGCAGCAGGCUGCUUUGCAUUUGUUGGAGUUAAUAGCAACUGUGCCCACCUUAUGGGUUGAACAGCUGCCAGCACACCUGUAUGGAAAGCCCUAGAAAUGGCUCACUUGCAUGUUUGUUUUUUUUUUGUUGGCUUUGAGCAAAAUUCUGAGCCCUUCAAAAGGACGUGGAGUAAGUUUUUCAUACACACAUUUCAUACAGAUGAGUCUCUUCUGUCUCUAAGGGCAACUGUUUCAAUCUUACUGCUCCCAAAAUGUUCAGACAAGGCCAGCCUGAGAAAAAACUCCAACAUCACAAAAAUCCAGACUUAACAAAAUGUGCAAAUGCUGUGGCCAAGCUCUGUUUGUAAGGAAAGAUUUGGACAAAAGGCUCGUUCCCUUCCCCUCUGCCCAGGAAAAGGAUCAAUGACAGAGGUAAUUAAGAGAUAUUUUGGUUUUUCCUGUAUGUCCAGCCUUGGAUCUGUUAGCAUCAGAGGUUUUUCUUCCUGCAUUCACACCCUCUGGCUGACAAAUUGGCAUGCAUCAUUGCAGAGGAGCAAGCAGCUCUUGCUGGUGCAGACCUGAGCAUGGUGAUGGGGCGAUGGGGCUGGGCCACUCUGGGGCCUUCACUCGCAUGCAGUUGCAGCUGUGGGUGGGGAAAAUCCAUUUCACACAAUGUGGCAAUGACAGGAGAGAUCUCAACAUGCUCCCAGCUGUUUGUUGGUUAUCAGGUCCAUCAGGCCCCAGUGUGGGACUGCAAUGUGUUGAACACCAGUUGGACAAUAGCAGCCAAGGCCUUGCCAUGAGGUCGCCAUGGGGAUCAGCAUCAGUGAGACCACUUCUUUCUGGAAAUAUUUCCUUUCCUAAAGUGCUUUGAAGGAGAAGAUCUGGUGGCAUUCCCCAGAGACCAAGAGGUCAACAGGUGGCACCGAGUGAAGACUGGAGAGACAAAGUUUAUCUGCUCUCCAGAGAAGCCUGUUAAAUAAGGUGUUUUGUGCGGGGAAGAGCACCACAAGAGGAUGCAGAGAGCGCAUGGAGGGAGAAAAGAAGUAAAGAAACAGCAGAGAGCGUAAGGAGGUCUGAAGGGGUUGAAAUGUCAGGAAGAAAUGACGUUUUUCUGCAGAGAGAAAAGCAAGAGCUGUGCUGAGUGCAGGAUGGGUCCCCUUAAAGCAGCCCCUCUACCUUCUGAGGGUGGUUUGGCUCAAGUCCUCAGCAGCAUUGCUCUUGCUUAAUGUGAAACUUGGAAGCAACCCUGGGUAAACAAGCCAGGCUAAUAUUUUACAGGCUGAUCGUAACUACUUGAAGGAGAAGUAUUGGAUCCAUCCUAUGCAAUCCAGGAUAUACCAAGACCAACUUUUUCACCUGGAAAUGAUGCUUCUCUGGAACUUGUUGAGAGAAUAUGUCUGUUUCAACUAUAGGAUCAGCAGAAACCUUCAUAGGAUUGUAAAAGGGAAUCAGGCCUCAGUUUAAAUGGGAAUCAAGCCUUUGGAAAUGCAGGCAUCAGUACAAUCUCAGCGCACCACAACAGUGUGCAUCAGCCACACUCAGAAAUGAAUGGGAGCCAGCAGCUGCAGGAUUUGUUUGCAUCCACAACUACCAUAUAUUAAAAAAUAAACAAGAAGUGAAAAAGUCUAAAAAGUGUCAUCUAAUGACAGAGACUCUAUCAGUAAGGCUGACUUGUCUCAGAGUAAUAACAAGUAUCUUUUAGGUGUGAAUAUCCAAAAUGCAGUAGUUGCUAUUGUGUUAAGCUCAUCUCAUCUUGUGGCUGGUGUUGAAGAGGAGCUCUGUUUUUCCCAGGUCCCCUUCCCACUCUACUGAGUUUUGUGGCUAAUUCUGGUCAAACUCCUUGCACCGAGUCCCCACACUGUUGCUGUCAUUUCAAUGUGCAGCCAACUCUUUGCAUCACCUGCACUUCUACAAAGAGUGAUACUGGAAAUGGCAGAUGUUUGCUUGUAACUGCGUGCCCAGAGGUCCAAAAGCUGACAAAAUAUGGGAGUUACUAUAGAUCUUGCUACCAAGCCUGUCUUCUGCAUGAUUUAUCACGUGGCAGCUGUGGAAAGCUAAGACCAUGAAGAAACUCUGGUUUGAUAAAGUGUUGGUAUGAAGAAUAGGUCUUACGAUGUUUGUAGAAGAGUGUCAUGUCUUAAAAAUGUUGUGGCAGCCCAAGAAUUUGCUUCAGUUGCAAUCAUAAGAAUCCCUUUGGUUAUGAGCACUAAUGGUUUGGCAUGGGGAGCAAAGCCAAAACAGCAUUCAAAUAGCCUUUUGAAUAGCAACAGGUUAGGAAUAAAACCAGAUUACGGAUAAGGAGGGAAAAAAAACAUAAGGCCAAGAAGAAAGUGGUGGAAAUCAUUUGAGGGACCCAGCAAAGGAAAUUUCAUUUUAGCAUAAUGUCUCUUCUUGGUGUGGAGGUUGUAUGAUGGGACUACAACUGAUACGUGCUGUUGUUGCAGGCAUAUAACUGCCUGUAGACUAUGAAAAUAAUUGUUUUCGAGUUUCAUUUCUAACUCCUUUUCACUGAGAGAAUAUUGUUUCCUGCUUUAAAAAAAAAAAAAAAAAUGUUAGUGAGGACAGAGGUUUUGUGUUGGAACUUUAGUCUUGUAUCACUCAGUAGCUACAUACUUCUGUCUAUGGGUCUUGACUGCACCAGACUGAAGUAAGUAUCAAAACAAAAGUUCACAGCAUAUACUGUACAGGCAGACACCCGAAGCUCCUUGUUCUCUAUGACUUCCACAGAUGUGCAGUUCUUGUCUUCCCUUCAAGCUCAGCAGCAUUUCAAAAUCACAUGCUCCUGUCUGGUCUGGUCCCUUUGAGAUACCAGUUUAGAAUUCCUUUCAAAUAUCUCAUUUAACACUAAGUUCCCCCAAAAGACAAAAGAUGUUGCUUCUCGGAGGAAACAGGUUUUCUUCAGGGAACUCUAUGGCUGUUGUUACUACCUUUCCUCCCACACAUCCUUCCCAACACCAUAUUUCUUAGAACAUUUUAAGGGGCCUGAAAUACUAGUUUCCACUUUGACAUACUCUGAAAAAAACCCAGUGCUAUUAAUCUUCAUUCAUGAAUAAUGAGUUCAUGAGACCCAUAGGGACGUUCCACAUGAAAAUAUCUGAUUUCUAGAAAAGCUGAUUUUGGAACAUUUUUCUUCCUCUUUUGUACACAGUUAAAGCUUAUACAUGUUAAAAUUUGAUACAAACUCUGAGGAUCUAGAGUAAGGUAUCAACUGGUAGUGGAAAAACUGUUUGCUGCCAUGGACAAGAUCUGAUAUAUAUAAAGUGGGUGAAAUCCACAGAUAAUUUAAUCAAAUAUGUGUUGUUCAUAGUUUCCACUGGGUUUUUAUGACUGAAGUAGCACCACACCUCAGAAGUGAAAAAGCUUGGAAAUUUGUUAUUACCUGUCCUCACACAUUCUUUUUAAAAGACGUUGUGCCAGCCUCACAAUCUUCCAUAGCAUCUUCAUGAAAGAAUUAUUGUUGGGGUUUGCAAAUAAUUACAUGGCAAAUUAUUUCAGCAAAAUAAUUUUAUUAUACUCUCUAAGAAAAAAAAAAAAAAAAGGAAUUUAAUGUUCCAUCAGAAAGUUCAUGGUCUCUACUGCACAUGUUUAGCAGGAUUCUUUCUAUUUUCAGUGUGCUCACGGUGCCCACAAAGCACCAGACCUUAACUCAGGCAUAAUCCAAGACCUCCUGCAGGCAGUUUCAAUGCUCCCUGAACUCAAAAAUCCAUAUUUCAAUAUGUUUUUUUCAACAUGAUGCUUUGCGAAAGCGAGGUGAGCAUUGCAGACCUGUGAGAGAUGGGAUGGACUUUGCUUGCAGAGCAGGGCUCUGUUCUCAAAUGGAGAUGUUGUGUAAAGUGGUUGGCUUUUUGGUAUCUUUCACCAGUUGUAAUGUAAAUUGAACAUCACAUUUGUUUUGGUAGAAAGACAAAUAUGUGAACAGCUCCGGGCUACUCUAAGGGCUUCUGAAACUGCUAUUGCUCCAGGGGGAGUACAUGAGUGAGGAAGACUUCAGAACUGUUUGUAAAAGUUAUGACAAAGGAAAAAGUAUUUUAUUCUUGGUCCUGAAGUGGUCUGUGCUGCUUCCUUCCUCUCCUUCUCCCUCUCAAUAAGGUUUAUGGUGCCUAAACACAGAUGACGCUCUCAUUUGGUGCCAGCAGUCACCAUUCUAUGUAAAUUAAUUAUGCUUUUAUUAUGUUGUAUAGUUAUCGAUUUUUUUAACUUCAAAAUAGUUAUUCCUGAAAAAUCUAUUGCUAACUAAUAACCAUGGAUUUCUUUUUCAAAUGUUAGAAAAUGAGAACUGGCCACAAAUCAAAUGCACCAGCUUUUAUCUGAAAAUGCCUCUACUCUGAAAAGAGUUGAUGCUUUAUUCCAAAUGUAGGCUUGUCACCAUAGAGAUAAGACGAAUUCAAGGAUUUAAGACUUACCAGAAAAUAUUAUGUACCAUGUUUGUGAUAAAGCUUUGCUUGCUUAAAACAGCAAUGGAAGCUGACACUGUAAAACAGCAUCUAACAAAGAAAGACUGACAGAAACAAAGAAAGGAUUCACAUUCUUUACAAAAAAGCUAUCUGUUUGUAAGAAAGAAGGGUGUAAGUAAUGAAGCUCUCAGACCUCUUAAACAGCUAUAGUUGCUGUGUACUUUAGUGACUCAGUCACGUAAGUAUUCUUUCUGGGUAUUCUCCCUCUGUUUCUCCCUUUCAAAAAUAAAUGUUCUGUUUUGAUUUGGUUUAUUUUACUCCCUAAGAUUUUAAAAUUCUAUCUGAUCUUUUUUUUUUUUUUUUUACAUCCAGAAAGAAACCUUAUCAAUUCUUUUUGUUGAAAUAUAAUGUAUUCUUUGAUAUGUUUUUUUUGGGGGGGGGGACAUAAUAGUCCCUCUAUUCCUAUGAAUUAUGUUAUUGCUCCCAGCUUUGGGCUAAUUAUCCCAAAAGACAACUAUCUUGCAUGGAUCCUAAAUAUUUGGACAAUUUGCUCCCUCUCAUUACCCAGGAAAGAACAGCCAGAGUUUUCAUGCCUUGCUAACUGAAAUGCUGCUGAAACUGUGACAUGGGAUACUGAAGCAUAUUGA
Long non-coding RNA from Lagopus muta (rock ptarmigan), 5248 nucleotides. RefSeq lists it as uncharacterized. Lineage: Eukaryota; Metazoa; Chordata; Aves; Galliformes; Phasianidae. The record is from RefSeq and is a predicted model, not a curated record. The transcript has 7 exons.